Non-coding RNA from Pimephales promelas (fathead minnow), 304 nucleotides. The record is from RefSeq and is a predicted model, not a curated record. Lineage: Eukaryota; Metazoa; Chordata; Actinopteri; Cypriniformes; Leuciscidae.
GUUCCUCAUUUCUGUCAGACAAGACGACGAAUCGGUUGGAGUGAACAAGUGCAUUAUUGGUGUUUUAUGAAUUCACAGGCUCAGCUACUCAUUUGAUGAAGUGGACUUGUGGAAGUGCUGAAAAAAGACCUAGAUCACCAGCAGAUAGAUAACCUGAUGUCUGACACGUUCUCCAAGCGCAGAAAGGAGAUCGUAGGGGAUCAACCUCUCAUUGGGGAUGUCAUGGCUAGAUGGCCGGCCAUGUUCUGUGAGAGACAGGUUCGGGCAGAGUUCAAAAGAGUCGUAAGCACAGACCUUCUCGAAU